AACGAACGCUGGCGGCAUGCCUAACACAUGCAAGUCGAACGAGACCUUCGGGUCUAGUGGCGCACGUGUGCGUAACGCGUGGGAACCUGCCCUUAGGUUCGGAAUAACUCCCCGAAAGGGGGGCUAAUACCGGAUAAUGUCUUCGGACCAAAGAUUUAUCGCCUUUGGAUGGGCCCGCGUUGGAUUAGCUAGUUGGUAGGGUAAAAGCCUACCAAGGCGACGAUCCAUAGCUGGUCUGAGAGGAUGAUCAGCCACACUGGGACUGAGACACGGCCCAGACUCCUACGGGAGGCAGCAGUGGGGAAUAUUGGACAAUGGGCGAAAGCCUGAUCCAGCAAUGCCACGUGAGUGAUGAAGGCCUUAGGGUUGUAAAGCUCUUUUACCCGGGAUGAUAAUGACAGUACCGGGAGAAUAAGCUCCGGCUAACUCCGUG
This 433-nucleotide ribosomal RNA is filed under the name uncultured bacterium. RNAcentral's name for it is "partial 16S ribosomal RNA". It matches the Rfam family "Bacterial small subunit ribosomal RNA", at positions 29 to 507 of the family's 1533-position model. The record is from RNAcentral.